AGAGCGAACGCUGGCGGCAGGCCUAAUACAUGCAAGUCGAGCGCACCUUCGGGUGAGCGGCGGACGGGUGAGUAACGCGUGGGAAUAUGCCCUUUGGUACGGAACAACUGAGGGAAACUUCAGCUAAUACCGUAUGUGCCCUUCGGGGGAAAGAUUUAUCGCCAUUGGAGUAGCCCGCGUUGGAUUAGGUAGUUGGUGAGGUAAAGGCUCACCAAGCCUACGAUCCAUAGCUGGUCUGAGAGGAUGAUCAGCCACAUUGGGACUGAGACACGGCCCAAACUCCUACGGGAGGCAGCAGUAGGGAAUCUUGCGCAAUGGGCGAAAGCCUGACGCAGCCAUGCCGCGUGAAUGAUGAAGGUCUUAGGAUUGUAAAAUUCUUUCACCGGGGAAGAUAAUGACGGUACCCGGAGAAGAAGCCCGGCUAACUCGUGCCAGCAGCCGC
Molecule: ribosomal RNA, 442 nt
Filed under: uncultured bacterium
Lineage: Bacteria
Description: SSU rRNA
Rfam family: Bacterial small subunit ribosomal RNA
Source: RNAcentral